AAAAGUUUGAAAUCUGGGUCCCUGAAAUGCGAUUUCAAGCAGUUUGGUUGGGGUGACAUUUUGGAGAAUUCCAAUGAUUAUAAAGUACAUCAAAGACAUGAUUUUCUAUGAUCUCAAAAACGUACCUUUUCCCAGACAUUUGUUUUCGGAAAUAAAUAAUUGGAAAAGUCAUCUUGGAAAUCUGGAGGAGGGGUCCGUAUCACCUUAUUUCCCCUCUGUGAUGCUGGGAGGAAAAAACUCAAUUUCAUUUUGAUCGGAAUGUUGCACUUAGGGUGGUUUUUGUGGUGAUUUGGGGGGGGGGGGAAGGAGCGGUCGCCCAUAAACUAAGCCACUGCUUACGAUUCUGCGACUUGAAACUCAACCUUUUACGAUUCUGCUCGACCAACAAACAUAGUAUAUAAUUAUAAGUGAACGUGAGGAAACCUAAACUAACUUAAAGUUUCAAGUUUACUGAAAGUCAGUUCAAGUUUAAUAUCGAUGUUGAUAAUGGGUAGCUAGCUCUUUCAGUGCUAAACUGCUUUUCUCACCGAUAAUGGUUCAGUAUUACAAC
This is a non-coding RNA of Paramuricea clavata, 550 nucleotides long. The record is from the annotation of a GenBank genome assembly. Lineage: Eukaryota; Metazoa; Cnidaria; Anthozoa; Malacalcyonacea; Plexauridae.